Molecule: ribosomal RNA, 309 nt
Filed under: uncultured bacterium
Lineage: Bacteria
Description: partial 16S ribosomal RNA
Rfam family: Bacterial small subunit ribosomal RNA
Source: RNAcentral
AGAGACAGCAGUAGCCACGGUAAUACGUAGGUGGCAAGCGUUGUCCGGAUUUAUUGGGUUUAAAGGGUGCGUAGGCGGCAUUUUAAGUCAGUGGUGAAAUACGGCAGCUCAACUGUCGAGGUGCCAUUGAUACUGGGAUGCUUGAGUACUGAUGAGGUAGGCGGAAUGGACGGUGUAGCGGUGAAAUGCUUAGAUAUCGUCCAGAACACCGAUAGCGAAGGCAGCUUACUAAGGAGUAACUGACGCUGAGGCACGAAAGUGUGGGGAUCAAACAGGAUUAGAUACCCCUGUAGUCCCUGUCUCUUAUAC